Molecule: ribosomal RNA, 496 nt
Filed under: uncultured bacterium
Lineage: Bacteria
Description: partial 16S ribosomal RNA
Rfam family: Bacterial small subunit ribosomal RNA
Source: RNAcentral
AUUGAACGCUGGCGGAAUGCUUUACACAUGCAAGUUGAACGGUAGAGGGGGCAACCCCUCGAGAGUGGCGAACGGGUGAGUAAUAUAUCGGAACGUGCCCAGUCGUGGGGGAUAACGUAGCGAAAGUUACGCUAAUACCGCAUACGAUCUAAGGAUGAAAGCGGGGGAUCGCAAGACCUCGCGCGAUUGGAGCGGCCGAUAUCAGAUUAGGUAGUUGGUGGGGUAAAGGCUCACCAAGCCAACGAUCUGUAGCUGGUCUGAGAGGACGACCAGCCACACUGGAACUGAGACACGGUCCAGACUCCUACGGGAGGCAGCAGUGGGGAAUUUUGGACAAUGGACGCAAGUCUGAUCCAGCCAUUCCGCGUGCAGGAUGAAGGCCCUCGGGUUGUAAACUGCUUUUGUACGGAACGAAAAGGUCUCUCUUAAUACGGGGGGCUCAUGACGGUACCGUAAGAAUAAGCACCGGCUAACUACGUGCCAGCCGCCACUGUAA